AUACGGAGGGGGCUAGCGUUGUUCGGAAUUACUGGGCGUAAAGCGUACGUAGGCGGACUGAUCAGUUGGGGGUGAAAUCCCAGGGCUUAACCCUGGAACUGCCUUCAAUACUGUCAGUCUUGAGAUUGGAAGAGGUGAGUGGAAUUCCUAGUGUAGAGGUGAAAUUCAUAGAUAUUAGGAGGAACACCAGUGGCGAAGGCGGCUCACUGGUCCAAUACUGACGCUGAGGUACGAAAGCGUGGGGAGCAAACGGGAUUAGAAACCCUAGUAGUCC
This 274-nucleotide ribosomal RNA is filed under the name uncultured bacterium. RNAcentral's name for it is "partial 16S ribosomal RNA". It matches the Rfam family "Bacterial small subunit ribosomal RNA", at positions 523 to 796 of the family's 1533-position model. The record is from RNAcentral.